GGGUUUAUUGUUUGAUAGAAUAAAAAACAACCUUGACUCAUAAUCAAGGGGUCCCUGGUUCGAGCCCAGGUGGGCCCA
RNAcentral lists this transfer RNA (78 nucleotides) under Fulvivirga marina. It matches the Rfam family "tRNA". Rfam says of the family: Transfer RNA (tRNA) molecules are approximately 80 nucleotides in length. Their secondary structure includes four short double-helical elements and three loops (D, anti-codon, and T loops). Lineage: Bacteria; Pseudomonadati; Bacteroidota; Cytophagia; Cytophagales; Fulvivirgaceae. The record is from Rfam by way of RNAcentral.